Molecule: ribosomal RNA, 965 nt
Filed under: Bacillus licheniformis
Lineage: Bacteria; Bacillati; Bacillota; Bacilli; Caryophanales; Bacillaceae
Description: bacterial SSU rRNA
Rfam family: Bacterial small subunit ribosomal RNA
Source: RNAcentral
GCGUUUGUCCGGCAUAUUGGGGCGUAAGCGCGCGCAGGCGGUUUCUUAAGUCUGAUGUGAAAGCCCCCGGCUCAACCGGGGAGGGUCAUUGGAAACUGGGGAACUUGAGUGCAGAAGAGGAGAGUGGAAUUCCACGUGUAGCGGUGAAAUGCGUAGAGAUGUGGAGGAACACCAGUGGCGAAGGCGACUCUCUGGUCUGUAACUGACGCUGAGGCGCGAAAGCGUGGGGAGCGAACAGGAUUAGAUACCCUGGUAGUCCACGCCGUAAACGAUGAGUGCUAAGUGUUAGAGGGUUUCCGCCCUUUAGUGCUGCAGCAAACGCAUUAAGCACUCCGCCUGGGGAGUACGGUCGCAAGACUGAAACUCAAAGGAAUUGACGGGGGCCCGCACAAGCGGUGGACGAAGCAACGCGAAGAACCUUACCAGGUCUUGACAGCAUGUGGUUUAAUUUCCUCUGACAACCCUAGAGAUAGGGCUUCCCCUUCGGGGGCAGAGUGACAGGUGGUGCAUGGUUGUCGUCAGCUCGUGUCGUGAGAUGUUGGGUUAAGUCCCGCAACGAGCGCAACCCUUGAUCUUAGUUGCCAGCAUUCAGUUGGGCACUCUAAGGUGACUGCCGGUGACAAACCGGAGGAAGGUGGGGAUGACGUCAAAUCAUCAUGCCCCUUAUGACCUGGGCUACACACGUGCUACAAUGGGCAGAACAAAGGGCAGCGAAGCCGCGAGGCUAAGCCAAUCCCACAAAUCUGUUCUCAGUUCGGAUCGCAGUCUGCAACUCGACUGCGUGAAGCUGGAAUCGCUAGUAAUCGCGGAUCAGCAUGCGGGGGGGAAAAUCCUUUCCCGGGGCCUUGUACACACCGCCCGUCACAACACCCGAAGUCGGUGAGGACCACGAGAGUUUGUUAACCUUUUGGAGCCAGCCGCCGAAGGUGGGACAGAUGAUUGGGUGACAGAAAAAAAAAAGCAAA